CCACCCAUAUGUCUUCACCUACCCUGUGUUUGGAGACACAGUCCGGGGGCUGGGAACGGCCUCCCUCCCGCAGAGAGGGGCUCACCUUCCGCCUCACUUCAUCCAGAGUCAGCUUGAGACUGAAGUCCACCUUGAGGGGACCGACGAGAUUCGGGGGGUCAUCGGGGCACGGCCGGGUCCUGUUCAACGGCGUGGUCCCCUCCUCCUUCUCCGGGGGGACACUCGGUUCUUGGGGCAACAUGUUCCGCUGCACCUGUUGAACACCUGCCUGUGUCCCCAGCUUGUCGGUCCCAGUGGACCCCCUGUACUGAAGCCGGGCCUGGGGGUUGGACGUGCCGGUCUCUUUGUACAGCAGCACCGCUCCAAAGUACGACGCACUGAGGAAACCAAAGAGGAUCAGUUCAAGUGCAGAUGUUGUGACUGUGAAGGCCAUUUCAAACUUUGUCAUCUCUCUCUGGAUGAGGACCCGGUCAUCCUGUUUCUCCACUCAGUUUUUCCUUUGUUCCUUUAAUUUUUUUUCACCUCUCUUUGUAUUGAUUAUGAUCAGUUAAGUGUUAUUUCAAUAACCCCUGACUCACAACUCUUUCUCAUGUCCUUCCUCUCCUUUUAUGAGAUAUUUGAACUGUGCGUCACACUACGCAGCUCUAUUCAGACCCUGUGUAGAAGAUAGAUGACAUGACUGCUCCCCAAAGGUGAAGCCAAAGCGCCGCGACUGCCCCUUUGUGGCUGGUGCGGUAAGGUCAUAAAUCCUCCUCCUCCUUAAAAGUCAAAAGUACAUGUGAAACGAAUAUUUCUCAAAGAUGGCUUCUGUCAUCUUAGGCAGAUAUUAUCACACUAAUGUUUGUUCAAGUGUUUAUUUUCAUUUUAUUUACGUUUGGUUGUAAUUAGUUAGUUUGAUUAUAUAAAAAAAGGGUGAACUGUUAUGAUUCUGAAUCGAUAAUUUGAAGGAAUAUUGAAUUAAUUGAAUAUUUGAAUUUAUUUGAUUUAGACCCUGCUCUUUUGAUUCUGUACCUUUGCUUGAACUUUGACUCAUCUGCAUCCACAAGAUGGCUGAUGGAUAAUUUGGCUUCAUUUCUGGAUAGUUGGAUGAAGUGGAGACGUGUUGACCAUCUUUAUAAACAGUCAAGAGUCAAACCUUCUAAAAUUUAGUACAUAGAGUAAAUUACACACACCUUUUGGGGCAAUGCAGCACCAGCGAAAUUCGGGAUUAACUACACCCAAGGGUAAAAAGACAAUGGAUUUUUAUGUUAUAUUUUACCAUUACUGUCUGGGAUAUUUGUACCAACUAAGGUAUAUAAUAUAAGGUUGUGAACAAUUUUUAUUUACUCUAACUCCUUGUAAACAUUGUGUACAUGUAACUAUGUCUUACUGGUGUUACUGAUUGUUUUUAAUAUGCGAGUCCUGUGCAGGUUUGAAUGUCCUACCCCUUGUUUUGUAGCACAAUGUUUUAAAGUAAACUUGUGCAUGAACUGUCCUGUCAAUAAGUGAACCAAGCAUAGAACAUUAAGACAUAUCAGCUGAGAGUGAGUGUGACUGUUUGGAAGACAUGUCAUCCUGCAUUGUUAGCGCUGCACCGACAUUAAUGACAAGGAAAAUCAAAAUAAAGUCUAUUUUUGUUGA
Long non-coding RNA from Limanda limanda (common dab), 1620 nucleotides. RefSeq lists it as uncharacterized. The transcript has 2 exons. NCBI's taxonomy places the organism in Eukaryota, Metazoa, Chordata, Actinopteri, Pleuronectiformes, Pleuronectidae. The record is from RefSeq and is a predicted model, not a curated record.